This 473-nucleotide ribosomal RNA is filed under the name uncultured bacterium. RNAcentral's name for it is "partial 16S ribosomal RNA". It matches the Rfam family "Bacterial small subunit ribosomal RNA", at positions 29 to 507 of the family's 1533-position model. The record is from RNAcentral.
ACGAACGCUGGCGGCGCGCUUAACACAUGCAAGUCGAGCGGUAAGGCUCCUUCGGGAGUACACGAGCGGCGAACGGGUGAGUAACACGUGAGUAAUCUGCCCUUCACUUCGGGAUAACCACCGGAAACGGUGGCUAAUACCGAAUACGACCAGUCUUCGCAUGAGGUGCUGGUGGAAAGUCUUUUCGGUGAAGGAUGUGCUCGCGGCCUAUCAGCUUGUUGGUGGGGUAAUGGCCUACCAAGGCUUCGACGGGUAGCCGGCCUGAGAGGGUGACCGGCCACACUGGGACUGAGACACGGGCCAGACGCCUACGGGAGGCAGCAGUGGGGAAUAUUGGACAAUGGGCGAAAGCCUGAUCCAGCAACGCCGCGUGAGGGAUGACGGCCUUCGGGUUGUAAACCUCUUUCAGUACCGACGAAGCGCCCUGUCGGGUGGUGACGGUAGGUACAGAAGAAGGACCGGCCAACUACGUG